UUAGGGCUACACACGUGCUACAAUGGGUAGUACAGAGGGUUGCCAAGCCGUAAGGUGGAGCUAAUCCCUUAAAGCUACUCUCAGUUCGGAUUGUAGGCUGAAACUCGCUACAUGAAGCUGGAGUUACUAGUAAUCGCAGAUCAGAAUGCUGCGGUGAAUGCGUUCCCGGGUCUUGUACACACCGCCCGUCACACCACGGGAGUUGGAGACGCCCGAAGCCGAUUAUCUAACCUUUUGGAAGAAGUCGUCGAAGGUGGAAUCAAUAACUGGGGUGAAGUCGUAACAAGG
RNAcentral lists this ribosomal RNA (288 nucleotides) under Clostridioides difficile. RNAcentral's name for it is "partial 16S ribosomal RNA". It matches the Rfam family "Bacterial small subunit ribosomal RNA", at positions 1208 to 1496 of the family's 1533-position model. The record is from RNAcentral. Lineage: Bacteria; Bacillati; Bacillota; Clostridia; Peptostreptococcales; Peptostreptococcaceae.